UAGCAGCACGUAAAUAUUGGUGUGUGACAAUAGACCCCAACCCCAAUAUUAGCAGUGCUGCUUCA
This 65-nucleotide microRNA precursor is filed under the name Monopterus albus (swamp eel). RNAcentral describes it as "Mal-Mir-15-P2b_pre stem-loop". It matches the Rfam family "mir-16 microRNA precursor family", at positions 10 to 75 of the family's 82-position model. Rfam says of the family: The hairpin precursors (represented here) are predicted based on base pairing and cross-species conservation -- their extents are not known. Lineage: Eukaryota; Metazoa; Chordata; Actinopteri; Synbranchiformes; Synbranchidae. The record is from RNAcentral.